RNAcentral lists this ribosomal RNA (964 nucleotides) under Levilactobacillus brevis. Its description in RNAcentral is "bacterial SSU rRNA". It matches the Rfam family "Bacterial small subunit ribosomal RNA", at positions 67 to 1017 of the family's 1533-position model. The record is from RNAcentral. Lineage: Bacteria; Bacillati; Bacillota; Bacilli; Lactobacillales; Lactobacillaceae.
CUUGCCCUGCUUUCAACUACGCCGCGAGUGGCGAACUGGUGAGUAACACGUGGGAAAUCUGCCCAGAAGCAGGGGAUAACACUUGGAAACAGGUGCUAAUACCGUAUAACAACAAAAUCCGCAUGGAUUUUGUUUGAAAGGUGGCUUCGGCUAUCACUUCUGGAUGAUCCCGCGGCGUAUUAGUUAGUUGGUGAGGUAAAGGCCCACCAAGACGAUGAUACGUAGCCGACCUGAGAGGGUAAUCGGCCACAUUGGGACUGAGACACGGCCCAAACUCUUACGGGAGGCAGCAGUAGGGAAUCUUCCACAAUGGACGAAAGUCUGAUGGAGCAAUGCCGCGUGAGUGAAGAAGGGUUUCGGCUCGUAAAACUCUGUUGUUAAAGAAGAACACCUUUGAGAGUAACUGUUCAAGGGUUGACGGUAUUUAACCAGAAAGCCACGGCUAACUACGUGCCAGCAGCCGCGGUAAUACGUAGGUGGCAAGCGUUGUCCGGAUUUAUUGGGCGUAAAGCGAGUGCAGGCGGUUUUUUAAGUCUGAUGUGAAAGCCUUCGGCUUAACCGGAGAAGUGCAUCGGAAACUGGGAGACUUGAGUGCAGAAGAGGACAGUGGAACUCCAUGUGUAGCGGUGGAAUGCGUAGAUAUAUGGAAGAACACCAGUGGCGAAGGCGGCUGUCUAGUCUGUAACUGACGCUGAGGCUCGAAAGCAUGGGUAGCGAACAGGAUUAGAUACCCUGGUAGUCCAUGCCGUAAACGAUGAGUGCUAAGUGUUGGAGGGUUUCCGCCCUUCAGUGCUGCAGCUAACGCAUUAAGCACUCCGCCUGGGGAGUACGACCGCAAGGUUGAAACUCAAAGGAAUUGACGGGGGCCCGCACAAGCGGUGGAGCAUGUGGUUUAAUUCGAAGCUACGCGAAGAACCUUACCAGGUCUUGACAUCUUCUGCCAAUCUUAGAGAUAAGACGUUCC